This 497-nucleotide ribosomal RNA is filed under the name uncultured bacterium. Its description in RNAcentral is "partial 16S ribosomal RNA". It matches the Rfam family "Bacterial small subunit ribosomal RNA", at positions 28 to 507 of the family's 1533-position model. The record is from RNAcentral.
GAUGAACGCUGGCGGCGUGCCUAAUAAAUGCAAGUCGAGCGAACAGACGAGGAGCUUGCUCCUCUGACGUUAGCGGCGGACGGGUGAGUAACACGUGGAUAACCUACCUAUAAGACUGGGAUAACUUCGGGAAACCGGAGCUAAUACCGGAUAAUAUAUUGAACCGCAUGGUUCAAUAGUGAAAGACGGUUUUGCUGUCACUUAUAGAUGGAUCCGCGCCGCAUUAGCUAGUUGGUAAGGUAACGGCUUACCAAGGCAACGAUGCGUAGCCGACCUGAGAGGGUGAUCGGCCACACUGGAACUGAGACACGGUCCAGACUCCUACGGGAGGCAGCAGUAGGGAAUCUUCCGCAAUGGGCGAAAGCAUGACGGAGCAACGCCGCGUGAGUGAUGAAGGUAUUCGGAGCGUAAAACUCUGUUAUUAGGGAAGAACAAAUGUGUAAGUAACUAUGCACGUCUUGACGGUACCUAAUCAGAAAGCCACGGCUAACUACGUG